AACAUCCAACUUUGUAUUUUCACAGCAGUACAUGGAGUGGGACUGUGGGAUUUUAAAUGUAAUGAGAAAUACAAAGACUAAUUCCCAAAUAUCAAUAUCAAAACUUACUCCAGACUUUCAGAAACAAAGUGCAGGGAAAAAAAGGCUAAGCGAAAAUCCUGCAGUGGGAACAAAGCCUCCUGGAUGAAGAAUAACACAGAAAGUUUUCUUCCGAAGUGUUCUCAAAUCUUCUCCCAUGUGGCUAAAGCAGAUCCUUCAGCCUGCYGGCCUACGUUCUGUAAGAUGGAUGUGCUCUGUGUUCCCCCUCCUGCUUCCCACAUGGUGAAAACUGAUGAACCUUAGUGCUCUGUACCCCCCGGAUGGUAGAAGAUUAUUACAGUCUGGGUGCAAACCAGAAUCACCCUCUUAAGUCUCUAAUCUUUACGAGGUAAGCCUAUAUAUUUCUGCUUGCCUAGAAACAUGUAAUGAAAGAUCUGCGUCAUUUACAGUCAAUUUUAAUAAACUUUUUAUUUAUAUUUCGUCUAGUUAAGAA
Molecule: long non-coding RNA, 532 nt
Filed under: Dromaius novaehollandiae (emu)
Lineage: Eukaryota; Metazoa; Chordata; Aves; Casuariiformes; Dromaiidae
Description: lncRNA (ENSDNVG00000000789.1)
Source: RNAcentral